RNAcentral lists this ribosomal RNA (253 nucleotides) under uncultured bacterium. RNAcentral's name for it is "partial 16S ribosomal RNA". It matches the Rfam family "Bacterial small subunit ribosomal RNA", at positions 524 to 776 of the family's 1533-position model. The record is from RNAcentral.
UACAGAGGUGGCAAGCGUUGUUCGGAAUUACUGGGCGUAAAGGGCGCGUAGGUGGCCAUCUAAGUCAGACGUGAAAUCCCCCGGCUUAACCUGGGAACUGCGUCUGAUACUGGACGGCUAGAGUAUGGGAGAGGGAUGUAGAAUUCCAGGUGUAGCGGUGAAAUGCGUAGAUAUCAGGAAGAACACCCGUGGCGAAAGCGGCUCUCUGGAACGGUACUGACGCUGAGACGCGAAAGCGUGGGGAGCGAACAGG